UCCGGUUUGACACCGGCAGUCUCGCCAGAGUGCUCGGCAUGACCCGCUUGCAACUGACGACAGGGGUUUCGCUCGUUAGGGGACUUAACCCAACACCUCAAGGCACGAGCUGACGACAGCCAUGCAACACCUGUGCAGGUUACACCCGAAGGCAAUCCCUCGGCUUUCACCGAGUUAAUCCCUGCAUGUCAAGCCCUGGUAAGGUUCUUCGCGUUGCUUCGAAUUGAGCAACAUCCUCCACCGCUUGUGUGAGCCCCCGUCAAUUCCUUUGAGUUUUAGCCUUGCGGCCGUACUCCCCAGGCGGGGAACUUAAUGCGUUAGCGACGGCGCGGAUUCCGUUGGUUGGAACCCACACCUAGUGCCCAACGUUUACGGCAUGGACUAC
This 385-nucleotide unclassified non-coding RNA is filed under the name uncultured Planctomycetota bacterium. RNAcentral describes it as "uncultured planctomycete contains 16S-23S intergenic spacer region". Lineage: Bacteria; Pseudomonadati; Planctomycetota. The record is from RNAcentral.